RNAcentral lists this small nuclear RNA (36 nucleotides) under Mus musculus (house mouse). RNAcentral describes it as "piRNA piR-mmu-68059932". It matches the Rfam family "U2 spliceosomal RNA", at positions 1 to 36 of the family's 192-position model. From Rfam's summary of the family: U2 is a small nuclear RNA (snRNA) component of the spliceosome (involved in pre-mRNA splicing). Complementary binding between U2 snRNA (in an area lying towards the 5' end but 3' to hairpin I) and the branchpoint sequence (BPS) of the intron results the bulging out of an unpaired adenosine, on the BPS, which initiates a nucleophilic attack at the intronic 5' splice site, thus starting the first of two transesterification reactions that mediate splicing. Lineage: Eukaryota; Metazoa; Chordata; Mammalia; Rodentia; Muridae. The record is from RNAcentral. RNAcentral also lists the same sequence under 1 other name.
AUCGCUUCUCGGCCUUUUGGCUAAGAUCAAGUGUAG